GGGGGUGUAGCUCAGCUGGCAGAGCAUCGCGUUUGCAACGCGGGUGUCGGGUGUUCGAAUCACCUCACCUCCACCA
Molecule: transfer RNA, 76 nt
Filed under: Caldisericia bacterium
Lineage: Bacteria; Pseudomonadati; Caldisericota; Caldisericia
Description: tRNA-Ala
Rfam family: tRNA
About the family: Transfer RNA (tRNA) molecules are approximately 80 nucleotides in length.
Source: RNAcentral